RNAcentral lists this ribosomal RNA (253 nucleotides) under uncultured bacterium. RNAcentral's name for it is "partial 16S ribosomal RNA". It matches the Rfam family "Bacterial small subunit ribosomal RNA", at positions 524 to 776 of the family's 1533-position model. The record is from RNAcentral.
GACAGAGGGUGCAAACGUUGUUCGGAAUUACUGGGCGUAAAGCGUGUGUAGGCGGCCACGUAAGUCGGAUGUGAAAGCCCCGGGCUCAACCCGGGAAGUGCACUCGAUACUGCCAAGCUAGAGUAUCGGAGAGGUUGGUGGAAUUCUCGGUGUAGAGGUGAAAUUCGUAGAUAUCGAGAGGAACACCGGUGGCGAAGGCGGCCAACUGGACGAAUACUGACGCUGAGACUCGAAAGCGUGGGGAGCAAACAGG